This is an RNA transcript of Enhydra lutris kenyoni (northern sea otter), 1152 nucleotides long. It is a transcript of the gene named casein kinase I pseudogene, with no coding region annotated. The record is from RefSeq and is a predicted model, not a curated record. Lineage: Eukaryota; Metazoa; Chordata; Mammalia; Carnivora; Mustelidae. The transcript has a single exon.
UCGUCUCUCAGGAUGGCGAGCAGCAGCGGCUCCAAGGCCGAAUUCAUUGUCGGAGGGAAAUAUAAACUGGUACGGAAGAUCGGGUCUGGCUCCUUCGGGGACAUUUACCUGGCGAUCAACAUUACCAACGGCGAGGAAGUGGCAGUGAAGCUAGAAUCUCAGAAGGCCAGGCAUCCCCAGUUGCUGUACGAGAGCAAACUCUAUAAGAUUCUUCAAGGUGGGGUGGGCAUCCCCCACAUACGGCGGUAUGGUCAGGAAAAAGACUAUAAUGUGCUAGUCAUGGAUCUUCUUGGACCCAGCCUCGAAGACCUCUUCAAUUUCUGUUCAAGAAGGUUCACAAUGAAAACUGUACUUAUGUUAGCUGACCAGAUGAUCAGUAGAAUUGAAUAUGUGCAUACAAAGAAUUUUAUACACAGAGACAUUAAGCCAGAUAACUUCCUAAUGGGUAUUGGGCGUCACUGUAAUAAGUUAUUCCUUAUUGAUUUUGGUUUGGCCAAAAAGUACAGAGACAGCAGGACAAGGCAACACAUACCAUACAGAGAAGAUAAAAAUCUCACUGGCCCUGCCCGAUGCACUAGCAUCAAUUUACAUCUUGGUAUUGAACAGAGUCGCCGAGAUGACAUGGAAUCAUUAGGAUAUGUUUUGACGUCUUUUAAUAGAACCAGCCUGCCAUGGCAAGGACUAAAGGCUGCAACAGAAAAGCAAAAAUACGAAAAGAUGAGUGAAAAGAAGAUGUCCACUCCUGUUGAAGUUUUAUGUAAGGGGUUUCCUGCAGAAUUUGCCAUGUACUUAAACUAUUGUCGUGGGCUGCGCUUUGAGGAAGCCCCGGAUUACAUAUAUCUGAGGCAGCUAUUCCGCAUUCUUUUCAGGACCCUGAACCCACCAAUAUGACUACACAUUUGAUUGGACAAUGUUAAAGCAGAAAGCAGCACAGCAGGCGGCCUCUUCAAGUGGGCAGGGCCAGCAGGCCCAAACCCCCACAGGCAAGCAAACGGACAAAACCAAGAGUAACAUGAAAGGUUUCUAAGCAUGAAUUGAGGAACAGAAGAAGCAGAGCAGAUGAUGGGAGCAGCAUUUGUUUCUCCCCAAAUCUAGGAAUUUUAGUUCAUAUGUACACUAGCCAGUGGUUGUGAACAACCAUUUACUUGGUGU